CCUACGUGUGGCAGCAGUGAGGAAUAUUGGUCAAUGGGCGCGAGCCUGAACCAGCCAAGUAGCGUGAAGGAUGACUGCCCUACGGGUUGUAAACUUCUUUUAUAAAGGAAUAAAGUGAGGCACGUGUGCCUUUUUGUAUGUACUUUAUGAAUAAGGAUCGGCUCACUACGUGCCAGCAGCCGCGGUAAUACGGAGGAUCCGAGCGUUAUCCGGAUUUAUUGGGUUUAAAGGGAGCGUAGAUGGGUUGUUAAGUCAGUUGUGAAAGUUUGCGGCUCAACCGUAAAAUUGCAAUUGAUACUGGCAGUCUUGAGUACAGUUGAGGUAGGCGGAAUUCGUGGUGUAGCGGUGAAAUGCUUAGAUAUCACGAAGAACUCCGAUUGCGAAGGCAGCUUACUAAACUGCCACUGACAUUGAUGCUCGAAAGUGUGGGUAUCAAACAGGAUUAGAUACCCCAGUAGUC
This 460-nucleotide ribosomal RNA is filed under the name uncultured bacterium. Its description in RNAcentral is "partial 16S ribosomal RNA". It matches the Rfam family "Bacterial small subunit ribosomal RNA", at positions 338 to 795 of the family's 1533-position model. The record is from RNAcentral.